GAUGAAGAACGUAGCGAAAUGCGAUACGUAAUGUGAAUUGCAGAAUUCAGUGAAUCAUCGAAUCUUUGAACGCAUAUUGCGCUCUCUGGUAUUCCGGAGAGCAUGCUUGUUUGAGUAUCAGUAAACACCUCAACUUCCAUAUCUUUUUUGAAAUGGGAGUUGGAUUUGAGUGAUCCCAACGCUUUUCCUCACCGAAAAGUGGCGGGUUACUUGAAAUGCAGGUGCAGCUGGACUUUUCUCUGAGCUAUAAGCAUAUCUAUUUAGUCUGCCUAAAAAACAGAUUAUUACCUUUGCUGCAGCUAACAUAAAGGAGAUUAGUUCUUGUGCUGACUGAUGCAGGAUUCACAAAGACGGCUUCGGCCGACUUUGUAAACUCGAUCUCAAAUCAAGUAAGACUACCCGCUGAACUUAAGCAUAUCAAUAAGCUGAGGA
Molecule: unclassified non-coding RNA, 432 nt
Filed under: soil metagenome
Description: partial contains 5.8S ribosomal RNA, internal transcribed spacer 2, and large subunit ribosomal RNA
Rfam family: 5.8S ribosomal RNA (bases 1-120)
Source: RNAcentral